UACGGGGGGGGCAAGCGUUGUUCGGAAUUACUGGGCGUAAAGGGCUCGUAGGUGGCCAACUAAGUCAGACGUGAAAUCCCUCGGCUCAACUGAGGAACUGCACAGGAAACUGCUUGGCUUGAGUUCGGGAGAGGGAAGCGGAAUUCCGGGUGUAGCGGUGAAAUGCGUAGAUAUCCGGAGGAACACCGGUGGCGAAGGCGGCUUCCUGGACCGACACUGACGCUGAGGCGCGAAAGCUAGGGGAGCAAACGGG
Molecule: ribosomal RNA, 253 nt
Filed under: uncultured bacterium
Lineage: Bacteria
Description: partial 16S ribosomal RNA
Rfam family: Bacterial small subunit ribosomal RNA
Source: RNAcentral